RNAcentral lists this ribosomal RNA (495 nucleotides) under uncultured bacterium. Its description in RNAcentral is "partial 16S ribosomal RNA". It matches the Rfam family "Bacterial small subunit ribosomal RNA", at positions 28 to 507 of the family's 1533-position model. The record is from RNAcentral.
GACGAACGCUGGCGGCGUGCCUAAUACAUGCAAGUAGAACGCUGAAGGAGGAGCUUGCUCUUCUGGAUGAGUUGCGAACGGGUGAGUAACGCGUAGGUAACCUGCCUGGUAGCGGGGGAUAACUAUUGGAAACGAUAGCUAAUACCGCAUAACAGUAGAUGUUGCAUGACAUUUACUUAAAAGGUGCAAUUGCAUCACUACCAGAUGGACCUGCGUUGUAUUAGCUAGUUGGUGGGGUAACGGCUCACCAAGGCGACGAUACAUAGCCGACCUGAGAGGGUGAUCGGCCACACUGGGACUGAGACACGGCCCAGACUCCUACGGGAGGCAGCAGUAGGGAAUCUUCGGCAAUGGACGAAAGUCUGACCGAGCAACGCCGCGUGAGUGAAGAAGGGUUUCGGAUCGUAAAGCUCUGUUGUAAGAGAAGAACGAGUGUGAGAGUGGAAAGUUCACACUGUGACGGUAUCUUACCAGAAAGGGACGGCUAACUACGUG